This 508-nucleotide ribosomal RNA is filed under the name uncultured bacterium. RNAcentral describes it as "partial 16S ribosomal RNA". It matches the Rfam family "Bacterial small subunit ribosomal RNA", at positions 28 to 507 of the family's 1533-position model. The record is from RNAcentral.
GACGAACGCUGGCGGCGUGCCUAAUACAUGCAAGUCGAACGCUUCUUUCCUCCCGAGUGCUUGCACUCAAUUGGAAAGAGGAGUGGCGGACGGGUGAGUAACACGUGGGUAACCUACCCAUCAGAGGGGGAUAACACUUGGAAACAGGUGCUAAUACCGCAUAACAGUUUAUGCCGCAUGGCAUAAGAGUGAAAGGCGCUUUCGGGUGUCGUUGAUGGAUGGACCCGCGGUGCAUUAGCUAGUUGGUGAGGUAACGGCUCACCAAGGCCACGAUGCAUAGCCGACCUGAGAGAGUGAUCGGCCACACUGGAACUGAGACACGGCCCAGACUACUACGGGAGGCAGCAGUAGGGAAUCUUCGGCAAAGGACGAAAGUCUGACCGAGCAACGCCGCGUGAGUGAAGAAGGUUUUCGGAUCGUAAAACUCUGUUGUUAGAGAAGAACAAGGACGUUAGUAACUGAACGUCCCCUGACGGUAUCUAACCAGAAAGCCACGGCUAACUACGUG